AAGCGCUUGUGACCAGACUUGGGCUUGGUUGAUCAUCCGGGGUUCUCCCCGGUGCACUCUUCCGGCUCAGGCCAGCAUCAGUUCGCCCUGGGGGAUAAAGGCUUCGGGAAUGUGGCUCUCUCCGGGGAGUGUUAUAGCCUAUUGUAUAAUACCUUUAUGGGGACCGAGGUACGCGCUCUGCAAGGAUGCUGGCGUAAUGGUCAUCA
RNAcentral lists this ribosomal RNA (206 nucleotides) under Nectriaceae sp. Its description in RNAcentral is "partial large subunit ribosomal RNA". Lineage: Eukaryota; Fungi; Ascomycota; Sordariomycetes; Hypocreales; Nectriaceae. The record is from RNAcentral.